UAGGGAAUAUUGCAAAAUGGGCGAAAGCCCGAUGCAGCAACGCCGCGUGGGCGAUGAAGGCCUUCGGGUCGUAAAGCCCUUUUUGAGGGGAUGAGGAAGGACAGUACCCUCAGAAUAAGCCUCGGCUAACUACGUGCCAGCAGCCGCGGUAAAACGUAGGAGGCGAGCGUUAUCCGGAUUUACUGGGCGUAAAGCGCGUGCAGGCGGAUUGGAGAGUUGGAUGUGAACGCUCCCGGCUUAACUGGGAGAGGUCGUUCAAUACUUCCAGUCUUGAGUGCAGUAGAGGGAAGUGGAAUUCCGGGUGUAGUGGUGAAAUGCGUAGAUAUCCGGAGGAACACCAGUGGCGAAAGCGGCUUCCUGGACUGUAACUGACGCUCAGACGCGAAAGCUAGGGUAGCAAACG
Molecule: ribosomal RNA, 403 nt
Filed under: uncultured bacterium
Lineage: Bacteria
Description: bacterial SSU rRNA
Rfam family: Bacterial small subunit ribosomal RNA
Source: RNAcentral